GCCGCCGUCCGUGUCGACCACCUGGAGUCGCUCAGGCCGACCGAAGCGCCCAGGCAGGCCUCCGCUCGACCGCGCCGUCGUCCACCCAUCGUUCCGCAUCUCGCCGAGACCCCACGAAUGCGAUCACUAUCGGAGAAGAAUGAGAGGAUCUCGGUGAGGAUCUCGAAGAGGAAGGAAGAGCAGAGGUUCAUGAAGAAGAAGUCCAGGGACAAAUAGCCAACCAAGGCAAGCCACCUCUUGACGCAUACCUUGUCCUAAAUAUCUUGCUCUUGCAUUAUCAUAAGUUCUUAUAAAA
Non-coding RNA from Lolium perenne, 295 nucleotides. NCBI's taxonomy places the organism in Eukaryota, Viridiplantae, Streptophyta, Magnoliopsida, Poales, Poaceae. The record is from RefSeq and is a predicted model, not a curated record.